AACGAACGCUGGCGGCAUGCCUAACACAUGCAAGUCGAACGAGACCUUCGGGUCCAGUGGCGCACGGGUGCGUAACGCGUGGGAAUCUGCCCUUCGGUUGGGAAUAACUGAGAGAAAUUUAAGCUAAUACCUUAUAAUGUCUUCGGACCAAAGAUUUAUCGCCGCGGGAUGGGCCCGCGUAGGAUUAGGUAGUUGGUGGGGUAAUGGCCGACCAAGCCGACGAUCCUUAGCUGGUCUGAGAGGAUGAUCAGCCACACUGGGACUGAGACACGGCCCAGACUCCUACGGGAGGCAGCAGUGGGGAAUAUUGGACAAUGGGCGAAAGCCUGAUCCAGCAAUGCCGCGUGAGUGAUGAAGGCCUUAGGGUUGUAAAGCUCUUUUAGCCGGGAUGAUAAUGACAGUACCGGGAGAAUAAGCUCCGGCUAACUCCGUG
RNAcentral lists this ribosomal RNA (433 nucleotides) under uncultured bacterium. RNAcentral describes it as "partial 16S ribosomal RNA". It matches the Rfam family "Bacterial small subunit ribosomal RNA", at positions 29 to 507 of the family's 1533-position model. The record is from RNAcentral.